AGCUAGAAGGAAUUGAAACUAGAACAUAUGUCGUUAAGUUUAAGCCGGGGUUUUCGCUCCCCAGCCCUAACCCAGGAACUCACGCAAGCGAGCGCGCUUGGGGCGAAGAGAGGCGGCGAUGAGCGUCCUGACGCUGGAUCUGCGGCCUGGCGCUGGCAUCGGCGCCUUCAGCCUAGGGAUGCCAGUUUGUGAGGCGCUUGCUUAUAUCGAGCAGCAUCACUCCGUCUUUGAUGUCGUGCACAUCAAAUUCAACGACGAGGAUCCGCUACAAUUCGACCUUGUUAUAAGCUUUCCAGAGCAUGGAUUUCACCUUCGUUUCGAGCCGCGGACGCAGAGGCUUCGUCUGAUAGAAGUAUAUGAUGUCCAACGCUUGCAAAUGCGGUAUGCCACGUCCUCGAUUGGAGGUCCCAGUGUCGCGGCUACCUUCGUUGCCGUUUACGCACUCUUUGGCCCAACGUUUCCGGGAUCGUUCGAUGCAAAGCGGAAUAUCUAUACUCUCUUCUAUCCUGGCCUGGCGUUCACAUUUCCGAUUCCUGGGCAGUACACUAACUGCUGCCAAGAUCGAGAAGCUGAGCUGCCUAUUGAGUUUCCAGAUGGAACUACUCCUGUGAUGUCUCGCGUCUGUAUAUAUGACGGUGCGCUUGGUGGUAAUGUGGAGGCUGGCGCUAACCUUGCGGCCCUGAUAAAGAAAGCCAUCCCGCCGCAACUACCUUCAGGAAGUUUAUACAUGGAAGAAGUCCAUGCAAAGCUCGCUGAGGACCUGUUCUUUACAACCAGUAAGAAGCGCUUGCCGUUUGGAGCGUCUCCUCAGGACGUGUGGGCAGAACUUGGCCGCCCCGACGGAAUUCAUCAAAAGCAGGUGGAUCCUAUGGUUAUACACUCGGCAUCGGAUCCGAGGCCGAACUCAGCCCUUUGUGGUGACUACUUUUACAACUAUUUUGCUCGUGGCUUAGACAUCCUUUUCGACGGUCAGACACACCGGAUUAAAAAGUUCGUCUUGCACACGAACUUCCCGGCCCAUACCGAUUUCAACUCCUACAUAAAAUGCAAUUUUGUUAUACACUGCCCAUGUAAUGACUGGAAGCGACGAGAAAGAUUCACACUAUGUCAUAACUGGCGAUACAAAGUGGCCUCAAAUCCAGCUCUUGGGAGACGCCGGCCGAGCAGCCAUUCAAACGCAAGGCUCGGUUAGCAAUCCGUUCGGGCCAACCUUCGUCUAUGGCUACCGAAACAUCGCAUUUGAAGUUAUGAAGAACGGCCACAUAGCAACUGUGACACUCUUCCAAACGAAUUAGAGCGUCGCAAGAACCAAUCACUCUCAAAACUCUCAAACUGUACAGGAUUGAUGUAAAUACUGCCCAUCGCUUCGUGUGAAUACGAAUAAUACAAGAAAGAUGUUCUUGA
This is an RNA transcript of Selaginella moellendorffii, 1404 nucleotides long. It is a transcript of the gene named UPF0183 protein At3g51130, with no coding region annotated. The record is from RefSeq and is a predicted model, not a curated record. The transcript has 13 exons. NCBI's taxonomy places the organism in Eukaryota, Viridiplantae, Streptophyta, Lycopodiopsida, Selaginellales, Selaginellaceae.